RNAcentral lists this long non-coding RNA (230 nucleotides) under Elaeis guineensis (African oil palm). RNAcentral describes it as "long non-coding RNA (EGUI_LNC014177)". The record is from RNAcentral. Lineage: Eukaryota; Viridiplantae; Streptophyta; Magnoliopsida; Arecales; Arecaceae.
GGGGACUUCACCAAAGUAAUCCACACAAUACAAUAAAUGUUAAAACCGAUUAUAUGUGGUUGCAGUCUAUUAGUGAGGUGGGUCAACCCAUGCCGGAUUGGAACCCGAGUAAUGGAAUCCUAUAAGUAUACAAAAAAUAGAUCACAAGUUCUGUCUCAUUGACCUGAGUUGUGUUGUGAAUCGGUUAGUUUUGAUAGACUUGCAUUAGAUUUAUAGAAUUGGACUAAAUA